AUUACUUUGGCAGAUUAGUGUGGUGGGUUUAGAGUUCAUUUAUGUAAAAUUUUUACAAGUAAUA
RNAcentral lists this transfer RNA (64 nucleotides) under Clypeodytes migrator. Its description in RNAcentral is "tRNA-Leu". The record is from RNAcentral. Lineage: Eukaryota; Metazoa; Arthropoda; Insecta; Coleoptera; Dytiscidae.